RNAcentral lists this ribosomal RNA (497 nucleotides) under uncultured bacterium. RNAcentral describes it as "partial 16S ribosomal RNA". It matches the Rfam family "Bacterial small subunit ribosomal RNA", at positions 28 to 507 of the family's 1533-position model. The record is from RNAcentral.
GAUGAACGCUGGCGGCGUGCCUAAUACAUGCAAGUCGAGCGAACAGAUGAGGAGCUUGCGUCUCUGACGUUAGCGGCGGACGGGAGAGUAACACGUGUAUAACCUACCUAUAAUACUGGGAUAACUUCGGGAAACCGGAUCUUAUACCGGAGGAUAUAUAUAACGGCAUGGGUCAAUAGUGAAAUUGGGGUUUGGUGUGAGCUAGAGGUGGAUCCGCGCCUGAUUAGCUAGUUGGCAAGCUAACGGCUUACCAAGGAAACGAUGCGUAGCGGACCUGAGCGGGUGAUCGGCCACAUUGGAACUGAGACACGGUCAAGACUCCUACGGGAGGCAGCAGUAGGGAAUCUUCCGCAAUGGGCGAGAGCCUGACGGAGCAACGCCGCGUGAGUGAUGAAGGUCUUCGGAUCGUAAAACUCUGUUAUUAGGGAUGAACAAAUGUGUAAGUAACUAUGCACGUCGUGACGGUACCUAAUCAGAAAGCCACGGCUAACUACGUG